UACGGGGGGGGCAAGCGUUGUUCGGAGUUACUGGGCGUAAAGGGCGCGUAGGCGGUUCGCUAAGUUGGAUGUGAAAACUCUGGGCUCAACCCAGAGCCUGCAUCCAAAACUGGCGGGCUAGAGUUCUGGAGGGGGUAGCGGAAUUCCUGGUGUAGCGGUGAAAUGCGUAGAUAUCAGGAGGAACACCGGUGGCGAAGGCGGCUACCUGGACAGAAACUGACGCUGAGGCGCGAAAGCUAGGGGAGCAAACAGG
RNAcentral lists this ribosomal RNA (253 nucleotides) under uncultured bacterium. RNAcentral's name for it is "partial 16S ribosomal RNA". It matches the Rfam family "Bacterial small subunit ribosomal RNA", at positions 524 to 776 of the family's 1533-position model. The record is from RNAcentral.